This 468-nucleotide ribosomal RNA is filed under the name uncultured bacterium. RNAcentral describes it as "partial 16S ribosomal RNA". It matches the Rfam family "Bacterial small subunit ribosomal RNA", at positions 28 to 507 of the family's 1533-position model. The record is from RNAcentral.
GACGAACGCUGGCGGCGUGCUUAACACAUGCAAGUCGAACGGAAAGGCCCUGCUUUUGUGGGGUGCUCGAGUGGCGAACGGGUGAGUAACACGUGUGUAACCUGCCCUUGACUUUGGGAUAACUUCAGGAAACUGGGGCUAAUACCGGAUAGGAGCUCCUGCUGCAUGGUGGGGGUUGGAAAGUUUCGGCGGUUGGGGAUGGACUCGCUGGUUAUCAGCUUGUUGGUGGGGUAGUGGCUUACCAAGGCUUUGACGGGUAGCCGGCCUGAGAGGGUGAACGGCGACAAGGGGACUAAGAUACGGAGCAGACGGCAACGGGAGGCAGCAGUGGGGAAUAUUGCACAAUGGGCGGAAGCCUGAUGCAGAAACGCCGCGUGCGGGAUGACGGCCUUCGGGUUGUAAACAGCUUUCGAAUGUGACGAAGAGGGAGUGACGGUAAUGGGUAAAGAAGCACCGGCUAACUACGUG